Molecule: long non-coding RNA, 1047 nt
Organism: Apus apus (common swift)
Lineage: Eukaryota; Metazoa; Chordata; Aves; Apodiformes; Apodidae
Exons: 3
Source: RefSeq, a predicted model, not a curated record
UCCAGGUGCAAAAUGGCGCCCGCCAUUCUUCCGUACUGCAAGAUGGCGGCACCUGAGGGCGGACAAACCUCUCCGCCAGCCGCGCCUCGUCGCUCCUUACAGCCAGCCCGGAUUCCUGCGGGGCUCUCCCGGGCAGAGAAGGGCCGAGCCCCGGGAUUGGGACGCUAAGGCACGGCAGGGUGAGGCGGCGCAGCUCGGAGGCAGAGCGGAGCCCGCCCCUCUCCUCUGAGGACGCUGCCCGCAGCCGGCGGCUCCCGCCUCCCGUUUCCCGCCCUGGCUCGCCGCGGGAGGCGGGCGGAGGGCAUUGCCGUGCCGUGCCGCCCUGCCGUGCCGUGCCGCCCGCCCUGCCGUGCCGCCCGCCCUGCCUUGCUGCCUUGCCGUGCCGGCCCGCGGCUCUCCCCGCAGCGCUGGGCACCGCGUCUCCCUUCCUCACAGCCCCCGGCUCUCUCUGGGCGGCCCGCGCUGAGGAAGCGGCCCGUGUUGCCCACCCGGCACCGCGGGGCAGCUUAUUAGAGCUAAUAGCGCCUUGAAGAGCGCUCAGCUGCCUGGUUUUACCUCAGCUUGUUGGGCAGAAUUCCAGUGGGACGGCUUGUACUCCUUUUCUGAGGACUAUGCAAUCAGGAGCUGAGUACCAGACCACACUGGAGCUUGAGGUUUGGCUGUACAGACACAGGUCUGCUGGAAUGGGGAUGUGACAGAGGCUGGAACACCAGCAGUUCAAGCUGAAGAGACAAUCGCUGCCAUAAUAUCCUGUGCACAUCUCCAAGCACCUACUAAAAUAUCUUCCGUGAUUUCCUUUCCUCCUUACCUUGAAAAUUUCCCUGCACUGUAAGUAAUUUUAUCCUGCUUUAAGCAUAAGCACUGUUUCAAACUAUCAAAAUUGUAUAAGCACCUGUCCAACUCUCACUCAGGCUGUGCUGACUUUUGGAAGAAGUGUUCAGCUGGUUUGGCCAGCAGAUUCACCUACCAGACAGACAUGCUUACAGCUUUCUGACAGUUCUGAGUCCCAGCAUAACAGUGAAAAAUCCUGUUUUUCCUGAUUUGCUG